CUGUGUUUUCGGAAGUAACUACGGUACUACGGAGCUCAGAUCAAAUACAAUAUUUGUAUUUGUCAUUUUUUUAGGAUUCCUUUUUUGAAGAUGCGCUGAAUAGGCACUUUGAUACCAACCGCAGUUCCUAGUCGUACAUGAUGUCUCGUGCCAAUGACGGGGGGCUUAUACUGAAACAUGGAAGAGCAUAAACCUUGCAGAAGCAACAUCAACCAUGGCGGAGUCCACCAGCAAGCGAUCCUCAGAUCCUACAUCUCCUGUAGUUAAACCAAAGAAAAUCAGACCGAUGUGUCGUGUGCGUAGCGACAAAUCUCGGGGGAAGACAAGGGUGAACAUUGGUGCGAAUUUUCCGAGAUGGAGAACACUGCGGGACCGAAAGGGAUUUCGGAGGGAUGCGGAUCUGGCUCGAUUUCUUCUAGACAGCUAUGAAAGUAGCCUACUGACCUCCAAAACACAAAGGCAGAAGAGACACACGACUUCAGCCCCUGCGGGGUCCAGCACCGAAUCACUUUCUCCAGAUCGCUAUGAAAGUAGCCUACCGACCUCCAAAACACGAAGGCAGAAGAGACACAAGACUCCUGCCCCUGCGGGGUCCAGCACCGAAUCACUUUCUCCAGAUCGAAACGCUUCGCUCCAUGACCAACUCUCUGCUCUCCAUCAUUCCCUCCCUUUAGACUGUUGGAUUUCACCGGCCUCACUGAAGCAAAUGUCCAGUUUGAAUCUGGGCCUCAGUCUCCGAGACCAUUAAGCCCCGCCUCUUCAGGUGAAGACAUGAAGACAGAACCUGUGACGGACAGCACAGAUUACACAGGGCUGGAGCUCAGAUCCUGUCUGAUUAAAAGUGAAGACGCAGAGGAGAGUAUAGAGAGGAAGAAUGGAUGUGGGAUGAGCAGGGAGGAAGAACUCAUUCUCUCCAACAUAAAGGAAGAGGAGGAGGAUGGAGGGAUGAGGGACACUGUGGAGGUGAAGUGGGUGGAUGGUGUGAAAGUUGAAGUGGUUGAGGUGUCGGGGAAGUGAAGGUUAAGGUGAAACGUGGUCAAUUUCUGAAUCCAGCUAUUUUAACAGCCUCACUUAACGUUCGGCACUCUGAUUUCCGAACACAAGCGCAUCAACUGUUAAAACCCUUCACUUAUCCAACAUGUAAAAUAAAUGUAUUUGAUUUGAUUUAUUAAUUUUUAUCUAAAAUAUCAAUUAUCAAUUAAAUUGACAAAUCCUUUGAUGGGCAGAGCAACCUGGUGGAUUAACCUUUAUGAAGAUGGACAAUUCACAAGAAUUGUGAAUCGACAGGUUCAACUUCUAGAAUCUACAGACGGGUUCAACUUCCUUCAAGUUUACAGACAUGGACAAGUACCAGUCACAAAAGAAAAUAAUGAAAGGAAGUGCCGAACCUCAGCGUGUGUCUCACAAAACAACCCCCGAAACUGAAAUGAAAGUUCCAAAGACCAGAAGGCAGAUGAAUCUGAAAUCAUUGAUGGGAAAAUGGGAAAAUGGCCAGAGCAGCUGUAAGGCAGAAUCCAAGACCGCGGCAGAAGCAUCAACCCCCCAAACUCCACCAUCUUGACUCCCUGUAAGUGUCGGUGAGAAUAAGCCAUCCAAGUCAAGGAAGGCUUGUAAUGUAAUGUAAUGUAAUUUUAUCUGCUUAAAAUAAAAGGGGGAGAAUACCUUGCCCUCAGAGGGGCACAGCUGGAAGAUGGACACUGGGAGAGGCAGAACUGACUUGGCUGAUCUCAUCAAAAGAUUCAGGAUUUUAGGAGACCAAACAUAAACAUUCUAAGAGGUGCACAAGCUCUAAGGAAAGAGGUUCCUUCUACUUCCAGCAAUAGAGGUGAGACUUGUAGACAAAUAAUUGCUAAAUACAGUCAGCUGCAACCCGCACCUGAAAGAAACACGUGUUCCAUGAAACAAAACCAGAUCUCACCACGUUGGUUUCCGCUCAAAGCCGGAAUUGCUGAAAAAAAAGAAUGCAGAUCUCAACUGUCAGGAUUCAACGACCAUUAUCUGUGUAUCAACUUUUGAGAUUUUCAGUCAAUGAUUUCAGUUAGAUGCUCAUUUCAAAUCAAAAGGUCUUUGUUCCUUUCAGCAUGUGGAAAGUUGGGUGUGGUAGUCUCUCAAAGGCGAUAUAUAUAUAGACCAGUUAUCCAACAGAGGUAUUUGGGUGGAAAGAAGAAAGAGAGUGAUGGAGAUAAAAUGGAACAAAAAAAUGAAAGAAGAAGAGUGCAGAAAGAAGGCGGGACGUCCACACUGCGGACACAGGAAGAUGAGGGCGUGUCAUCAACAGUUACUUCCUGUCUGCUCAAACAGCCGAGAGUACCCUCCCCAGGAUCUCCGGUCAUCUCCUCCAGGUUAGGGCAGUCUGAGGUGUUUGGAUGCUCCCAGUGCCCAUUCGCUCACCUGGAAGAAGUGAAGCUUCACCAGCACGUUGAGAAGGUGCACCCAGAGGAGCACAGCAGGGUUCUGAGAUCUGGAGGAAACGGAGAAGAGAAGCCACUGCUUCCCAGCAGCACACAUCAGCACCCCACACCCCCUAAAACACUCCCCACCCCAACACAGGCCCACACAGGCACUGCAGGGGCCCUCACCUGCUCCCACAUCCCCUAAAACACUGGUUUGUCUGGAUUGUAUGGAUUCCCCUUUAUGCUUUUAUGGGGUUUUACAUCCUGGAGGUACAUGCAGGGGGAUUCCCAUUCCAAUGCUCACAGUGUGGGAAGAGUUCUAAAUCUACUAUCAUGACUGAGUGUGGUCUCUUUCUCUCUGUGGGUUGGGCCAACGGAUGUUGUGGUGUUCAUAUUUUCACAACAUUGCGUAAGUUUUGUUUUGUUCUUUUGUAAAAGUGAGAACAAUGAAAAUCGGGCAAAACAAAAAGGUGGGUGUCUGAAGAGGUUCAGAAAAUGUUCAAGACACAAACGUUCUCCCAAACCUUCCUUUGAGCAAGGAAGCAAGGACUUUCUAUUUGCAUGAUUCAUGUUUUCUCAAUCUCCCCAUGUCUCACCUCUUUUUCUAGCCUCUCCCGAUUGGUGGAACUAGGAGUAUGAAAAGGAGAAAGGAAAGGAGAUGGGAAGGGAAUAAUAAGUGACUGGAAAGAGCCACGGGUCCUAUACUCGGGGUUUUUAACAUCUUUCUGUAUGGGUUUAAAAUUGGUUUCCAUUACCAACGGUGCCAGAAAGUUUAACCCAGUUUUAAAUUCUGAAUUGGUAUUUUUAAUAUCUAAUGCUGCACUUGGAUCCUGGAAAAUUAAAAAUGCAACGGUGCUGGCAUCAGUUGGUAGUGAUUACUUUCACCAGAGCAGACUCCAUAGCGCUGUAAGACCGAAGGCUUGACUGGACUUUUUUUUUUUUUUUUCUGAUACUUUUCCAUGAAAAUGAGU
Molecule: RNA transcript, 3364 nt
Organism: Conger conger (European conger)
Lineage: Eukaryota; Metazoa; Chordata; Actinopteri; Anguilliformes; Congridae
Exons: 6
Source: RefSeq, a predicted model, not a curated record